This 2036-nucleotide unclassified non-coding RNA is filed under the name Hevea brasiliensis (rubber tree). The record is from RNAcentral. Lineage: Eukaryota; Viridiplantae; Streptophyta; Magnoliopsida; Malpighiales; Euphorbiaceae.
GUUAUUGUUUAAUUAUGGAGUAUUUGAUGGAAAGAAACACAUGCAUCUUCAAAAAUCAAAGCUUGUCUUUUAACUUGUAGGGAGACAAGGUGAUGUUUUUGUGCUUUUGUGCAGGCAUACACUGCUAAAGCUUUUAAGGGGGUUUCUUUUAGAAUAAUCCCACUAGAUUGGAGGAUAUUACUUUUUACUUAAUUUUUCAUGCUAUUUUCUUAGUUUUUUAGAAGGAUCCCCCCUCCUCCAUGGGUGAGUACACUUUCAAUCUUUCUCAAUAAAAUCUCUUCUUAUAAAAUAGGGGGAGAGAUUUCUUGGCAAAUGAAAGAAUACAUUUCCCUUUUUUUCUAAUUGAAAUCCAUGUUCUCUAAAUUGUAAAAAUGAUUUUGUCUCAAUAGCAAAAGGAUCACCCAAAGGCUAAUCUUAGUUCUACGAGUGAAGGGUGAAGGAGUUCUACGUGAUCAUAUAAAGUGGUGAAUUAGAGUUUGAGAAUACGAAAUGGGAAUCAUUAAAAUUUGAUGCGCAAUUGUAGGCACAUAUACUGGAAAGAGAAGAACAAAGAGGCAAAAAGAGAUUGAGAAAAUGGCGAAGGGUGUAAUAUUAUUCUAUCUGUUCACUGUCGAAAAGAUCACAAAUCUACUUAUAGGCUUAAAGCCCAACAACAUAUCAUAAAUGGUAAAGUAAAUAAUUUUGAACACAUAACAAACACAAGUUGAAUUAUGAUUGAGAACAAAAAUUUUAGCUCGUAAAUAAAUAUCUUGAAUAAAAACCGACUUAACUCGAAUGAAAAGGCAGCACAAACUAAAAAUUGAAUUAACACUAGUCAAUUUACUAGUUAGAAAAUUUCUUCCAUCCACAAACAUGCCUGGAACAUACAAAGUCAUUAAUCAAGUUUAGGUAAUUUGAUUUUGUGUCCAAUUAAUUGGUAUUUAAUAUUUCCCACAAUGAAAAAAUCCUAUAUAUCAUUCAACUGGCAAAAUUUCCUUUGAGAUUAUUCAUGAUUAUCAGCUUGUCUUGUAUCCCUCUUCCCUAAUAUUGUUUGCCUCAACCAGCUGAAUCUUUUGCCCAACAUACAUGACAGGUACUCAUGCUAAAAUUAGGUGAAAGUUGUCCAUGAUCACGCACAAGAUAAGGCUUAAGAAUUUAGCAUAGAAUAAUAAGAUUAUCACAUCUUCAUCUUCAAGAAUAUCAUAAACAUUCUUUCAAAGGAAUGCAUGCUCAAGUCAUUGGCCCAUUCUUUAGCAUUUGAGAAACUGGACCAAAAAUGUAUUUACUUCAUUUUACCCAAUUGUAUAGAUAGUUUAGGAUUUAUUAGAUUCUGAAUCAAACCCCAUGUAUCAUCUUGGGGGGAAAUCCCAAAGAUACCAAUAAGUUCAGCUUACAUUAACAAACCAGCACAGAUUUCUCUAUUGAUUAUUUCCUUGCAUUUCAAAAUUUGCAACUUGCAUAUAAUUUUGAAGCUAACCUCAAGUGAAUCUCUCAAUCAGAUUAAUUUAAAUGCUAAUAUCAACUUUGAUUUUGACAGAACUAAACUACAAGGCUCACAAUGUUUAGUUACAAGUUUUACACCCAUAAUAUAUUCCCAGCCAAUCUAAAACAAAAUUAUGCAAAAUAAAUAUCAUAUUAAAGUUCAUCAUAUGAGACAACCCAAUAUUAACAGGUAGCAAUAGCAACAACUCCACAAUGAAGACAAACAUGAGUUUGAAUAAUUCAACCAUAAAUUUCAAUUUUGCAGAACAGUCAUCUCUUAAAAUUUUCAACCAAUUUUGGCCAUAUCCAAAGUUAUGACUAAAAACCAAUUUCCUUGAAUAGUUUCGUCUCUCUAAAAAAAAGAUCAUGAUAUUUGAUUUUUUUUUCAUAUAGUUGUUGAUAAUGAGCAUUCAAAGAAAUUGUGUAUGUAUCAUAUUUUACACUUUAAAUGAACAUGAUGAACUCAUUUAUUAUGUGUAGCAUUUGAGCAGACAUAUUUUCAAGUGAUAAUUUCAACAUCACGUUUGCAAACUUGUAUGCAUGAGAUGUACCUGUUACAAAAGGUGGAUCAGGGU